GUGCUCACUUUGGCAGCACAUAUACUCAAAUUGGAAUGAUCCAGAGAAGAUUAGCACAGCCCCUAUGAAGGGAUGACACGCAAGUAUGCGUAGUAUUCCAUAUUAUU
This is a small nuclear RNA of Pteronotus mesoamericanus, 107 nucleotides long. The record is from RefSeq and is a predicted model, not a curated record. NCBI's taxonomy places the organism in Eukaryota, Metazoa, Chordata, Mammalia, Chiroptera, Mormoopidae.